RNAcentral lists this long non-coding RNA (515 nucleotides) under Helianthus annuus (common sunflower). RNAcentral describes it as "hypothetical non coding rna". Lineage: Eukaryota; Viridiplantae; Streptophyta; Magnoliopsida; Asterales; Asteraceae. The record is from RNAcentral.
UCUUAACGAACAGAGGAAGAGUGAGGGGGACUCUCUGUUGCGGGAAAGUGUUGUCAUCAAUGAUUGAAACGCAAUUAGGAUGAUCAACAGAGAGAUAGUUAUACACAAGUAGAUGUUGCUGUUGGGACCUGUAAAGAGUGAUAAAUUUGGAGCUACCGAUGAGAGAUUUCCAUGAUUUGGAGACUGAUCGGCAACGAAUGAGUGAUUUUACAGGGAGAUGUUUGAUGAUUUCCUCUUGGAUCUCGAAAGGCAUGUUGUUUGACAUCUUGAUUUUGAUUACGAACUCAUGAUAUCAAUUUCUAGGGUUUUCACGAUUUGGGGAUUUAUUUCAGCACAGGUUAUUAUAUAUAAAGUUAAAGAUUAAAUCAAUUUGGGUUUGGCUUUGUCGGUUCAAAAUUGAUAACCUAUAUAUAAAGUUAAAGAUUAAAUCAAUUUGGGUUUGGAUUUGUCGGUUCAAAAUUGAUAAAUUGAUAAACUAUAUAUAAAGUUAAAGAUUAAAUCAAAAUUAUUUAUGU